This 497-nucleotide ribosomal RNA is filed under the name uncultured bacterium. RNAcentral's name for it is "partial 16S ribosomal RNA". It matches the Rfam family "Bacterial small subunit ribosomal RNA", at positions 28 to 507 of the family's 1533-position model. The record is from RNAcentral.
GAUGAACGCUGGCGGCGUGCCUAAUACAUGCAAGUCGAGCGAACGGUCGAGAAGCCUGCUUCUCUGAUGUUAGCGGCGGACGGGUGAGUAACACGUGGAUAACCUACCUAUAAGACUGGGAUAACUUCGGGAAACCGGAGCUAAUACCGGAUAAUAUUUUGAACCGCAUGGUUCAAAAGUGAAAGACGGUCUUGCUGUCACUUAUAGAUGGAUCCGCGCUGCAUUAGCUAGUUGGUAAGGUAACGGCUUACCAAGGCAACGAUGCAUAGCCGACCUGAGAGGGUGAUCGGCCACACUGGAACUGAGACACGGUCCAGACUCCUACGGGAGGCAGCAGUAGGGAAUCUUCCGCAAAGGGCGAAAGCCUGACGGAGCAACGCCGCGUGAGUGAUGAAGGUCUUCGGAUCGUAAAACUCUGUUAUUAGGGAAGAACAUAUGUGUAAGUAACUGUGCACAUCUUGACGGUACCUAAUCAGAAAGCCACGGCUAACUACGUG